This 442-nucleotide transfer RNA is filed under the name Weissella paramesenteroides. RNAcentral describes it as "16S-23S intergenic spacer". The stretch from base 91 to 164 matches the Rfam family "tRNA". The record is from RNAcentral. Lineage: Bacteria; Bacillati; Bacillota; Bacilli; Lactobacillales; Lactobacillaceae.
UCUAAGGAAAAUCGGAAACCUACACAUUCAACGAAACGAUAUUUAGUUUUGAGUGGUCAACACUCAAUUGGAAGUCAUAAGAUUCGACCUGGGACUGUAGCUCAGCUGGUUAGAGCGCACCCCUGAUAAGGGUGAGGUCGGAGGUUCGAGUCCUCUCAGUCCCAUAAUGGGGAAUUAGCUCAGCUGGGAGAGCACCUGCUUUGCAAGCAGGGGGUCAUCGGUUCGGACCCGAUAUUCUCCAUAACAACCAUCUGGUUGUUAAUUAGUUCUUUGAAAACUGAAUCAUAAUUGUAAAUUUUUAAAUUCAUUAUAAUUGAUCAUAUCAAUUAAAUUGAGCCGAAAAAAUACACCGCGUAAUUUUUUGAGUUUUUUAAAUAAGUUUAAAAUCGCUUGUGACCAUUGAGUCACAAUACUCAAACGAAAUCAUCAACGAAAGUUGAUC